RNAcentral lists this ribosomal RNA (155 nucleotides) under melanized limestone ascomycete CR-2004. RNAcentral describes it as "5.8S ribosomal RNA". It matches the Rfam family "5.8S ribosomal RNA". From Rfam's summary of the family: 5.8S ribosomal RNA (5.8S rRNA) is a component of the large subunit of the eukaryotic ribosome. It is transcribed by RNA polymerase I as part of the 45S precursor that also contains 18S and 28S rRNA. Lineage: Eukaryota; Fungi; Ascomycota. The record is from RNAcentral.
AAAACUUUCAACAACGGAUCUCUUGGUUCUGGCAACGAUGAAGAACACAGCCAAAUGUGAUAAGCAAUGCGAAUCGCACUCAGUGAAUCAUCGGAUUUUUGAACGCACAUUGCGCUUAGUGGCAUGCCGCUAAGCACGUCUGUUCGAGCGUCAUU